Molecule: ribosomal RNA, 1342 nt
Filed under: Latilactobacillus curvatus
Lineage: Bacteria; Bacillati; Bacillota; Bacilli; Lactobacillales; Lactobacillaceae
Description: bacterial SSU rRNA
Rfam family: Bacterial small subunit ribosomal RNA
Source: RNAcentral
GGCGGACGGGUGAGUAACACGUGGGUAACCUGCCCUAAAGUGGGGGAUAACAUUUGGAAACAGAUGCUAAUACCGCAUAAAACCUAGCACCGCAUGGUGCAAGGUUGAAAGAUGGUUUCGGCUAUCACUUUAGGAUGGACCCGCGGUGCAUUAGUUAGUUGGUGAGGUAAAGGCUCACCAAGACCGUGAUGCAUAGCCGACCUGAGAGGGUAAUCGGCCACACUGGGACUGAGACACGGCCCAGACUCCUACGGGAGGCAGCAGUAGGGAAUCUUCCACAAUGGACGAAAGUCUGAUGGAGCAACGCCGCGUGAGUGAAGAAGGUUUUCGGAUCGUAAAACUCUGUUGUUGGAGAAGAACGUAUUUGAUAGUAACUGAUCAGGUAGUGACGGUAUCCAACCAGAAAGCCACGGCUAACUACGUGCCAGCAGCCGCGGUAAUACGUAGGUGGCAAGCGUUGUCCGGAUUUAUUGGGCGUAAAGCGAGCGCAGGCGGUUUCUUAAGUCUGAUGUGAAAGCCUUCGGCUCAACCGAAGAAGUGCAUCGGAAACUGGGAAACUUGAGUGCAGAAGAGGACAGUGGAACUCCAUGUGUAGCGGUGAAAUGCGUAGAUAUAUGGAAGAACACCAGUGGCGAAGGCGGCUGUCUGGUCUGUAACUGACGCUGAGGCUCGAAAGCAUGGGUAGCAAACAGGAUUAGAUACCCUGGUAGUCCAUGCCGUAAACGAUGAGUGCUAGGUGUUGGAGGGUUUCCGCCCUUCAGUGCCGCAGCUAACGCAUUAAGCACUCCGCCUGGGGAGUACGACCGCAAGGUUGAAACUCAAAGGAAUUGACGGGGGCCCGCACAAGCGGUGGAGCAUGUGGUUUAAUUCGAAGCAACGCGAAGAACCUUACCAGGUCUUGACAUCCUUUGACCACUCUAGAGAUAGAGCUUUCCCUUCGGGGACAAAGUGACAGGUGGUGCAUGGUUGUCGUCAGCUCGUGUCGUGAGAUGUUGGGUUAAGUCCCGCAACGAGCGCAACCCUUAUUACUAGUUGCCAGCAUUUAGUUGGGCACUCUAGUGAGACUGCCGGUGACAAACCGGAGGAAGGUGGGGACGACGUCAAAUCAUCAUGCCCCUUAUGACCUGGGCUACACACGUGCUACAAUGGAUGGUACAACGAGUCGCGAGACCGCGAGGUUUAGCUAAUCUCUUAAAACCAUUCUCAGUUCGGAUUGUAGGCUGCAACUCGCCUACAUGAAGCCGGAAUCGCUAGUAAUCGCGGAUCAGCAUGCCGCGGUGAAUACGUUCCCGGGCCUUGUACACACCGCCCGUCACACCAUGAGAGUUUGUAACACCCAAAG